This 253-nucleotide ribosomal RNA is filed under the name uncultured bacterium. RNAcentral's name for it is "partial 16S ribosomal RNA". It matches the Rfam family "Bacterial small subunit ribosomal RNA", at positions 524 to 776 of the family's 1533-position model. The record is from RNAcentral.
UACGUAGGGUGCAAGCGUUGUCCGGAAUUAUUGGGCGUAAAGAGCUCGUAGGCGGUUUGUCGCGUCUGCUGUGAAAACCCGAGGCUCAACCUCGGGCCUGCAGUGGGUACGGGCAGACUAGAGUGCGGUAGGGGAGAUUGGAAUUCCUGGUGUAGCGGUGGAAUGCGCAGAUAUCAGGAGGAACACCAAUGGCGAAGGCAGAUCUCUGGGUCGUAACUGACGCUGAGGAGCGAAAGCAUGGGGAGCGAACAGG